This 253-nucleotide ribosomal RNA is filed under the name uncultured bacterium. RNAcentral describes it as "partial 16S ribosomal RNA". It matches the Rfam family "Bacterial small subunit ribosomal RNA", at positions 524 to 776 of the family's 1533-position model. The record is from RNAcentral.
UACGUAGGGCGCAAGCGUUGUCCGGAAUUAUUGGGCGUAAAGAGCUCGUAGGCGGCUUGUCACGUCGGGCGUGAAAGCCCGGGGCUUAACCCCGGGUCUGCAUUCGAUACGGGCAGGCUAGAGUGUGGUAGGGGAGAUCGGAAUUCCUGGUGUAGCGGUGAAAUGCGCAGAUAUCAGGAGGAACACCGGUGGCGAAGGCGGAUCUCUGGGACAUUACUGGCGCUGAGGAGCGAAAGCGUGGGGAGCGAACAGG